CCUACGGGAGGCAGCAGUGGGGAAUUUUCCGCAAUGGGCGAAAGCCUGACGGAGCAACGCCGCGUGAGGGAUGAGGGCCUCUGGGCUGUAAACCUCUCUUAUCAAGGAAGAAGAUCUGACGGUACUUGAUGAAUAAGCCACGGCUAAUUCCGUGCCAGCAGCCGCGGUAAUACGGGAGUGGCAAGCGUUAUCCGGAAUUAUUGGGCGUAAAGCGUCCGCAGGCGGCCCUUCAAGUCUGCUGUUAAAAAGUGGAGCUUAACUCCAUCAUGGCAGUGGAAACUGUUGGGCUUGAGUGUGGUAGGGGUAGAGGGAAUUCCCGGUGUAGCGGUGAAAUGCGUAGAUAUCGGGAAGAACACCAGUGGCGAAGGCGCUCUGCUGGGCCAUCACUGACGCUCAUGGACGGAAGCCAGGGGAGCGAAAGGGAUUAGAUACCCCUGUAGUCCUGGCCGUAAACGAUGAACACUAGGUGUCGGGGGAAUCGACCCCCUCGGUGUCGUAGCCAACGCGUUAAGUGUUCCGCCUGGGGAGUACGCACGCAAGUGUGAAACUCAAAGGAAUUGACGG
RNAcentral lists this ribosomal RNA (564 nucleotides) under uncultured bacterium. RNAcentral's name for it is "bacterial SSU rRNA". It matches the Rfam family "Bacterial small subunit ribosomal RNA", at positions 338 to 916 of the family's 1533-position model. The record is from RNAcentral.